This 459-nucleotide ribosomal RNA is filed under the name uncultured bacterium. Its description in RNAcentral is "partial 16S ribosomal RNA". It matches the Rfam family "Bacterial small subunit ribosomal RNA", at positions 339 to 795 of the family's 1533-position model. The record is from RNAcentral.
CUACGGGGGGCUGCAGUAAGGAAUAUUGCGCAAUGGAGGCAACUCUGACGCAGCCAUGCCGCGUGCAGGAAGAAGGCCUUAUGGGUCGUAAACUGCUUUUAUUUAGGAAUAAACCCCCGAACGUGUUCGGGGCUGAAGGUACUAAACGAAUAAGCACCGGCUAACUCCGUGCCAGCAGCCGCGGUAAUACGGAGGGUGCAAGCGUUAUCCGGAUUUAUUGGGUUUAACGGGUGCGCAGGCGGGCUAUUAAGUCAGUGGUGAAAUCCCGGGGCUCAACUCCGGAACUGCCAUUGAUACUGAUAGUCUUGAGUUUGGUUGAAGUGGGCGGAAUGUAGCAUGUAGCGGUGAAAUGCAUAGAUAUGCUACAGAACACCAAUCGCGAAGGCAGCUCACUAAGCCAAAACUGACGCUCAUGCACGAAAGCGUGGGGAUCAAACAGGAUUAGAUACCCGUGUAGUC